RNAcentral lists this microRNA precursor (106 nucleotides) under Paramuricea clavata. Lineage: Eukaryota; Metazoa; Cnidaria; Anthozoa; Malacalcyonacea; Plexauridae. The record is from RNAcentral.
GAAUUUUCCGCGCGGAGCGGAAUUUCUCUUUGUCUUUUCCAAUUAGUUCCAGCCGAGAAAUCACAAGACAGAAAAAUUCCGCUCCGCGCGGAAAAUUCCGCUUAGC